UCAUUAGCGAGGAAAAGAAACCAACAGGGAUUGCCUUAGUAGCGGCGAGUGAAGCGGCAAAAGCUCAAAUUUGAAAUCUGGCGCCUUCGGUGUCCGAGUUGUAAUUUGAAGAUUGUAACCUUGGGGUUGGCUCUUGUCUAUGUUUCUUGGAACAGGACGUCACAGAGGGUGAGAAUCCCGUGCGAUGAGAUGCCCAAUUCUAUGUAAGGUGCUUUCGAAGAGUCGAGUUGUUUGGGAAUGCAGCUCUAAGUGGGUGGUAAAUUCCAUCUAAAGCUAAAUAUUGGCGAGAGACCGAUAGCGAACAAGUACAGUGAUGGAAAGAUGAAAAGAACUUUGAAAAGAGAGUGAAAAAGUACGUGAAAUUGUUGAAAGGGAAGGGUUUGAGAUCAGACUCGAUAUUUUGUGAGCCUUGCCUUCGUGGCGGGGUGACCCGCAGCUUAUCGGGCCAGCAUCGGUUUGGGCGGUAGGAUAAUGGCGUAGGAAUGUGACUUUACUUCGGUGAAGUGUUAUAGCCUGCGUUGAUGCUGCCUGCCUAGACCGAGGUGCUGCAG
This 551-nucleotide ribosomal RNA is filed under the name Meyerozyma guilliermondii. RNAcentral's name for it is "partial large subunit ribosomal RNA". It matches the Rfam family "Eukaryotic large subunit ribosomal RNA", at positions 43 to 631 of the family's 3401-position model. The record is from RNAcentral. Lineage: Eukaryota; Fungi; Ascomycota; Pichiomycetes; Serinales; Debaryomycetaceae.